This 446-nucleotide ribosomal RNA is filed under the name uncultured bacterium. RNAcentral describes it as "partial 16S ribosomal RNA". It matches the Rfam family "Bacterial small subunit ribosomal RNA", at positions 338 to 795 of the family's 1533-position model. The record is from RNAcentral.
CCUACGGGUGGCAGCAGUCGAGAAUCAUUCACAAUGGGGGAAACCCUGAUGGUGCGACGCCGCGUGAGGGAAUGAAUUUCUUCGUAUGUUAAACCCCUGUCAUAUGGAAGCAAGUUAAAACGAUCGUACCCCAAGAUGCAGAGACUGCUAACGCGGUGCCAGCAGCCGCGGUAAUACAGAGGUCGCAAGCGUUGUUCGGAAUCACUGGGCGUAAAGCGUGCGUAGGCUGUUUCGUAAGUCGGGUGUGAAAGGCGCGGGCUCAACCCGCGGACUGCAGAUGAUACUGCGAGACUAGAGUAAGGGAGGGGGAAGCGGAAUUCUCGGUGUAGCAGUGAAAUGCGUAGAUAUCGAGAGGAACACUCGUGGCGAAGGCGGGUUACUGGACAGUAACUGACGCUGAGGCACGAAGGCCAGGGGAGCGAAAGGGAUUAGAUACCCCUGUAGUC